AUUGAACGCUGGCGGAAUGCUUUACACAUGCAAGUCGAGCGGCAGCACGGGGGCAACCCUGGUGGCGAGCGGCGAACGGGUGAGUAAUACAUCGGAACAUGCCCAGUCGUGGGGGAUAACACUUCGAAAGAAGUGCUAAUACCGCAUAAGUCCUGAGGGGGAAAGCGGGGGAUCGCAAGACCUCGCGCGAUUGGAGUGGCCGAUGUGAGAUUAGCUAGUUGGGGGGGUAAAGGCCUACCAAGGCAACGAUCUGUAGCUGGGCUGCGAGGAUGAACAGCCAAAAUGGGAAUGGGACAAGGGCCAGACUCCUACGGGAGGGAGCAGUGGGGAAUUAUGGAACAUGGGGGCAACGCUGAGCCAGCCAAUCCGGGUGAGGGAAGGAGGCCUUCGGGUUGUAAAGCUCUUUCGGCAGGAACGAAACGGUGAGCUCUAACAUAGCUUGCUAAUGACGGUACCUGAAGAAGAAGCACCGGCUAACUACGUGC
RNAcentral lists this ribosomal RNA (485 nucleotides) under uncultured bacterium. Its description in RNAcentral is "partial 16S ribosomal RNA". It matches the Rfam family "Bacterial small subunit ribosomal RNA", at positions 29 to 508 of the family's 1533-position model. The record is from RNAcentral.